UGGUACUACUCUACCCAGCAUAUAGGAAACA
RNAcentral lists this non-coding RNA (31 nucleotides) under Rattus norvegicus (Norway rat). Lineage: Eukaryota; Metazoa; Chordata; Mammalia; Rodentia; Muridae. The record is from RNAcentral.